GACGAACGCUGGCGGCGUGCUUAACACAUGCAAGUCGAACGGAAAGGCCCUGCUUUUGUGGGGUGCUCGAGUGGCGAACGGGUGAGUAACACGUGAGUAACCUGCCCUUGACUUUGGGAUAACUUCAGGAAACUGGGGCUAAUACCGGAUAGGAGCUCCUGCUGCAUGGUGGGGGUUGGAAAGUUUCGGCGGUUGGGGAUGGACUCGCGGCUUAUCAGCUUGUUGGUGGGGGAGUGGCUUACCAAGGCAUUGACGGGUAGCCGGCCUGAGAGGGUGACCGGCCACAUUGGGACUGAGAUACGGCCCAGACUCCUACGGGAGGCAGCAGUGGGGAAUAUUGCCCAAUGGGCGGAAGCCUGAUGCAGCAACGCCGCGUGCGGGAUGACGGCCUUCGGGUUGUAAACCGCUUUCGCCUGUGACGAAGCGUGAGUGACGGUAAUGGGUAAAGAAGCACCGGCUAACUACGUG
RNAcentral lists this ribosomal RNA (468 nucleotides) under uncultured bacterium. RNAcentral describes it as "partial 16S ribosomal RNA". It matches the Rfam family "Bacterial small subunit ribosomal RNA", at positions 28 to 507 of the family's 1533-position model. The record is from RNAcentral.